CACGGGGGGAGCAAGCGUUGUUCGGAAUCACUGGGCGUAAAGGGCGUGUAGGCGGUCAGGUAAGUGGGACGUGAAAUCCCUCGGCUCACCCGAGGACCUGCGUCCCAUACUGCUUGGCUUGAGUAUGGGAGAGGAUGAGGGAAUUCCUGGUGUAGCGGUGAAAUGCGUAGAUAUCAGGAGGAACACCGGUGGCGAAGGCGCUCAUCUGGCCCAAUACUGACGCUGAGGCGCGAAAGCUAGGGGAGCAAACGGG
This 253-nucleotide ribosomal RNA is filed under the name uncultured bacterium. Its description in RNAcentral is "partial 16S ribosomal RNA". It matches the Rfam family "Bacterial small subunit ribosomal RNA", at positions 524 to 776 of the family's 1533-position model. RNAcentral also lists the same sequence under 1 other name. The record is from RNAcentral.